Molecule: ribosomal RNA, 424 nt
Filed under: uncultured bacterium
Lineage: Bacteria
Description: partial 16S ribosomal RNA
Rfam family: Bacterial small subunit ribosomal RNA
Source: RNAcentral
GUGAGGAAUUUUCCGCAAUGGGCGAAAGCCUGACGGAGCAAUGCCGCGUGAAGGAUGAAGGCCUAUGGGUUGUAAACUUCUUUUCUCAGAAAAGAAUUAUGACGGUAUCUGAGGAAUAAGCAUCGGCUAACUCUGUGCCAGCAGCCGCGGUAAGACAGAGGAUGCAAGCGUUAUCCGGAAUGAUUGGGCGUAAAGCGUCUGUAGGUUGUUUAAAAAGUAUUCUGUCAAAGAUUAGGGCUUAACCCUAGAUAGGCAGAAUAAACUUUUAAGCUAGAGUUUGGUAGAGGCAGAGGGAAUUCCCGGUGGAGCGGUGAAAUGCGUAGAUAUCGGGAGGAACACCAAAGGCGAAGGCACUCUGCUGGGCCAAUACUAACACUGAGAGACGAAAGCGAGGGGAGCAAAUGGGAUUAGAUCCCAGUAGUCC